Molecule: unclassified non-coding RNA, 390 nt
Filed under: soil metagenome
Description: partial contains 5.8S ribosomal RNA, internal transcribed spacer 2, and large subunit ribosomal RNA
Rfam family: 5.8S ribosomal RNA (bases 1-122)
Source: RNAcentral
GAUGAAGAACGCAGCGAAAUGCGAUACUUGGUGUGAAUUGCAGAAUCCCGUGAACCAUCGAGUCUUUGAACGCAAGUUGCGCCCGAAGCCAUUAGGCCGAGGGCACGCCUGCCUGGGCGUCACACGUCGUUGCCCCCCCAUCUACUCCUUCGGGAUUGCGGGGGGCGGAUGAUGGCCUCCCGUGCGCCUCGCCGCGCGGUUGGCAUAAAUGCCAAGUCCUCGGCGACGCACGCCACGACAAUCGGUGGUUGCGAAACCUCGGUUGCCCGUCGUGUGCGGUCGUCGCGCAUCGAGGGCUCGAAAAAAUUGCCGGGUUCCGGCUCGGCUUUCAACGCGACCCCAGGUCAGGCGGGGUUACCCGCUGAAUUUAAGCAUAUCAAUAAGCGGAGG